This 348-nucleotide small RNA is filed under the name Arabidopsis thaliana (thale cress). RNAcentral's name for it is "ATSL221450". Lineage: Eukaryota; Viridiplantae; Streptophyta; Magnoliopsida; Brassicales; Brassicaceae. The record is from RNAcentral.
CAAGUUGAUCUUUACCCAUCUCCUUGAACCACUCCGGAAAAUUGGCCUUCAUCUUAGUCUCGGUUUCCCAAGUGUAUUCUUCACGGCCUCCACAAUUCCACAAGAUUUUUAACAAAUCCAUUGAUUUCCCCCGAGUCCCUUUCUUCAUUUGGUCCAUGAUCCGUACCGGCCAUGCUUCCACCGUCAUGUUCUCCUUUAACCCAGGAGGUACAUCUUCCAUGCUUUCUUCUUGUUCACUUAAGCACUUCCGUAGUUGUGAUACAUGAAAGACAUUGUGAAACGCGUCUAGUUUUGGAGGAAGGUCAAGUUUGUAUGCCACCGCCCCUACUCGUUCGAUCACUUUGUACG